ACGAACGCUGGCGGCGUGCCUAAUACAUGCAAGUCGCACGCACUCUCGUUAGAUUGAAGAAGCUUGCUUCUGAUUGAUAACAUUUGAGUGAGUGGCGGACGGGUGAGUAACACGUGGGUAACCUGCCCUAAAGUGGGGGAUAACAUUUGGAAACAGAUGCUAAUACCGCAUAAAACCUAGCACCGCAUGGUGCAAGGUUGAAAGAUGGUUUCGGCUAUCACUUUAGGAUGGACCCGCGGUGCAUUAGUUAGUUGGUGAGGUAAAGGCUCACCAAGACCGUGAUGCAUAGCCGACCUGAUAGGGUAAUCGGCCACACUGGGACUGAGACACGGCCCAGACUCCUACGGGAGGCAGCAGUAGGGAAUCUUCCACAAUGGACGAAAGUCUGAUGGAGCUACGCCGCGUGAGUGAAGAAGGUUUUCGGAUCGUAAAACUCUGUUGUUGGAGAAGAACGUAUUUGAUAGUAACUGAUCAGGUAGUGACGGUAUCCAACCAGAAAGCCACGGCUAACUACGUG
This 517-nucleotide ribosomal RNA is filed under the name uncultured bacterium. RNAcentral's name for it is "partial 16S ribosomal RNA". It matches the Rfam family "Bacterial small subunit ribosomal RNA", at positions 29 to 507 of the family's 1533-position model. The record is from RNAcentral.